UACGGAGGGUGCAAGCGUUAUCCGGAUUCACUGGGUUUAAAGGGUGCGUAGGUGGGCAGGUAAGUCAGUGGUGAAAUCUCCGGGCUUAACUCGGAAACUGCCGUUGAUACUAUCUGUCUUGAAUAUCGUGGAGGUUAGCGGAAUAUGUCAUGUAGCGGUGAAAUGCUUAGAUAUGACAUAGAACACCCGUUGCGAAGGCAGCUAACUACACGAUCAUUGACACUGAGGCACGAAAGCGUGGGGAGCAAACAGG
RNAcentral lists this ribosomal RNA (253 nucleotides) under uncultured bacterium. RNAcentral's name for it is "partial 16S ribosomal RNA". It matches the Rfam family "Bacterial small subunit ribosomal RNA", at positions 524 to 776 of the family's 1533-position model. The record is from RNAcentral.